This 1046-nucleotide ribosomal RNA is filed under the name uncultured organism. RNAcentral's name for it is "bacterial SSU rRNA". It matches the Rfam family "Bacterial small subunit ribosomal RNA", at positions 202 to 1253 of the family's 1533-position model. The record is from RNAcentral.
AAAGUUCCGGCGGAUAAAGAUGGGCAUGCGUGACAUUAGUUAGUUGGUGAGGUAACGGCUCACCAAGGCAACGAUGUCUAGGGGUUCUGAGAGGAUUGUCCCCCACACUGGUACUGAGACACGGACCAGACUCCUACGGGAGGCAGCAGUGAGGAAUAUUGGUCAAUGGGCGAGAGCCUGAACCAGCCAUGCCGCGUGCAGGAAGACUGUUCUAUGAAUUGUAAACUGCUUUUCUACAGGAAGAAAUCAUGCUACGUGUAGUGUGUUGCCGGUACUGUAGGAAUAAGCACCGGCUAACUCCGUGCCAGCAGCCGCGGUAAUACGGAGGGUGCAAGCGUUAUCCGGAUUUAUUGGGUUUAAAGGGUGCGUAGGCGGAAUAGUAAGUCAGUGGUGAAAUCCUGCGGCUCAACCGUAGAACUGCCAUUGAUACUGUUAUUCUUGAAUGUAGUUGAGGUAGGCGGAAUGUGUAAUGUAGCGGUGAAAUGCUUAGAUAUUACACAGAACACCGAUUGCGAAGGCAGCUUGCUAAGCUACGAUUGACGCUGAUGCACGAAAGCGUGGGGAGCGAACAGGAUUAGAUACCCUGGUAGUCCACGCUGUAAACUAUGAUCACUCGUUGUUUGCGAUAUACAGUAAGCGACUGAGCGAAAGCAUUAAGUGAUCCACCUGGGGAGUACGUUGGCAACAAUGAAACUCAAAGGAAUUGACGGGGGCCCGCACAAGCGGAGGAACAUGUGGUUUAAUUCGAUGAUACGCGAGGAACCUUACCUGGGUUUAAAUGUAGGUUGCAUAGAGGGGAAACUCUCUUUUCCUUCGGGACUACCUACAAGGUGCUGCAUGGUUGUCGUCAGCUCGUGCCGUGAGGUGUCGGGUUAAGUCCCAUAACGAGCGCAACCCUUAUCGUUAGUUGCCAUCAGGUCAUGCUGGGGACUCUAACGAGACUGCCGGUGUAAACCGUGAGGAAGGUGGGGAUGACGUCAAAUCAGCACGGCCCUUAUAUCCAGGGCUACACACGUGUUACAAUGGUCGGUACAAAGAGCAGCCAC